Molecule: ribosomal RNA, 400 nt
Filed under: uncultured bacterium
Lineage: Bacteria
Description: bacterial SSU rRNA
Rfam family: Bacterial small subunit ribosomal RNA
Source: RNAcentral
UGGGGAAUUUUGGACAAUGGGGGAAACCCUGAUCCAGCGAUGCCGCGUGAAUGAUGAAGGUCGAAAGAUUGUAAAGUUCUUUUGUUGGGGAAGAUAAUGACGUUACCCAAAUAAUAAGCACCGGCUAACUCUGUGCCAGCAGCCGCGGUAAUACAGAGGGUGCGAGCGUUAUUCGGAAUUACUGGGCGUAAAGAGUGCGUAGGCGGAAUUGUAAGUCAAGUGUUAAAAAUUGGAGCUUAACUUCAAGAGUGCAUUUGAUACUGCUUUUCUAGAGUAUGGAAGAGGAAAAUAGAAUUUCUAGUGGAGGGGUGAAAUCCGUAGAUAUUAGAAAGAAUACCAAAGGCGAAGGCAAUUUUCUGGUACAUUACUGACGCUGAGGCACGAAAGUGUGGGUAGCAAA